Molecule: unclassified non-coding RNA, 87 nt
Filed under: Pseudomonas grimontii
Lineage: Bacteria; Pseudomonadati; Pseudomonadota; Gammaproteobacteria; Pseudomonadales; Pseudomonadaceae
Source: RNAcentral
GUGGGAGGGGGCUUGCUCCCGAUGGCGGUGUGGCAGUCAAUACAUUUGUCACUGACCCAUCGCUAUCGGGAGCAAGCCCCCUCCCAC